Molecule: non-coding RNA, 241 nt
Organism: Cinara cedri
Lineage: Eukaryota; Metazoa; Arthropoda; Insecta; Hemiptera; Aphididae
Source: the annotation of a GenBank genome assembly
GAGGCUCUGAAAUGUUAAAAUAAUCUUUUUUUUUGCUCCCUUGUUCCAGGGUAGAUGAAUUAGCUACUUAAUUUUGAUUUUUUAACGGCAACCUAUAUUAAAAAUUAUAUUAAUAGACGGGGUACUGACUCUAACAAAUUCUGGUGUUGACAUUUUUAAUUUUCAGUUGACGAAAUAUUCCACUUUUAAGUUUUUGCGGGGGUUGAGCAGUGAUACAUGAUUUGUGUGGCAGUACGACGCG